UACGGAGGGGGCUAGCGUUGUUCGGAAUUACUGGGCGUAAAGCGCACGUAGGCGGCUUUGCAAGUUAGAGGUGAAAGCCCAGGGCUUAACCCUGGAAUUGCCUUUAAAACUGCAUCGCUAGAAUCGUGGAGAGGUGAGUGGAAUUCCGAGUGUAGAGGUGAAAUUCGUAGAUAUUCGGAAGAACACCAGUGGCGAAGGCGACUCACUGGACACGUAUUGACGCUGAGGUGCGAAAGCGUGGGGAGCAAACAGG
This 253-nucleotide ribosomal RNA is filed under the name uncultured bacterium. Its description in RNAcentral is "partial 16S ribosomal RNA". It matches the Rfam family "Bacterial small subunit ribosomal RNA", at positions 524 to 776 of the family's 1533-position model. The record is from RNAcentral.